UGAGUACGAGCGGCUACGGCCGCGAAGUGGAUGAUGUCAAGCUUCCAAGAAAAGCCCUAUACCCGUUAAGGCAUGAUGGCCUGUACCCGAAACCGACACAGGUGGGGUGGUAGAGAAUACCGAGGGGCGCGAGGUAACUCUCUCUAAGGAACUCGGCAAAAUGGCCCCGUAACUUCGGGAGAAGGGGUGCCACCGCGAGGUGGUCGCAGUGAGAGGCCCGGGCGACUGUUUACCAAAAACACAGGUCUCCGCUAAGUCGCAAGACGAUGUAUGGGGGCUGACGCCUGCCCAGUGCCGGAAGGUUAAGGAAGCUGGUCAGCGCAAGCGAAGCUGGCGACUGAAGCCCCGGUGAACGGCGGCCGUAACGAUAACGGUCCUAAGGUAGCGAAAUUCCUUGUCGGGUAAGUUCCGACCCGCACGAAAGGCGUAACGAUCUGGGCGCUGUCUCGGAGAGAGGCUCGGCGAAAUAGAAUUGUCUGUGAAGAUGCGGACUACGUGCACCCGGACAGAAAGACCCUAUGAAGCUUUACUGUAGCUUGGUAUUGUGCUCGGGCUCGGAAUGCGCAGGACAGGUGGGAGGCUUUGAUCCAUUGCUUGCGGGUGAUGGUGAGCCACUGGUGAGAUACCACUCUUUCCGAGCUAGAGUUCUAACAGCAACCCGUUAUCCGGGUGCUGGACAGUAUCAGGUGGGCAGUUUGACUGGGGCGGUCGCCUCCUAAAAGGUAACGGAGGCGCGCAAAAGUCUGCUCAGGCUGGUUGGAAAUCAGCCGACGAGUGUAAAAGCAGAAGCAGGCUUGACUGUGAGACCUACAAGUCGAACAGGGAGGAAACUCGGCUUUAGUGAUCCGACGGUUCUGCGUGGAAGGGCCGUCGCUCAACGGAUAAAGUUACUCUAGGAUAACAGGCUGAUCUCCCCCAAGAGUUCACAUCGACGGGGAGGUUUGGCACCUCGAUGUCGGCUCAUCGCAACCUGGGGCUGAAGUCGGUCCCAAGGGUUGGGCUGUUCGCCCAUUAAAGCGGUACGCGAGCUGGGUUCAGAACGUCGUGAGACAGUUCGGUCCAUAUCCGGUGCACGCGCAGGAAUAUUGAGAGGAUUUCUCCCUAGUACGAGAGGACCGGGAGGAACGCACCUCUGGUGUGCCAGUUAUCGUGCCAACGGUAAACGCUGGGUAGCCAUGUGCGGAGUGGAUAACCGCUGAAAGCAUCUAAGUGGGAAGCCCACCUCAAGAUGAGUAUUCCCAUGGCAUAAGCCAGUAAGGUCACGGGAAGAACACCCGUUGAUAGGCUCUACGUGGAAGCGCAGUAAUGUGUGAAGCGGAGGAGUACUAAUAGACCGAGGGC
RNAcentral lists this ribosomal RNA (1341 nucleotides) under metagenome. RNAcentral describes it as "bacterial LSU rRNA". It matches the Rfam family "Bacterial large subunit ribosomal RNA", at positions 1564 to 2912 of the family's 2925-position model. The record is from RNAcentral.